Molecule: ribosomal RNA, 421 nt
Filed under: Pagrus major (red seabream)
Lineage: Eukaryota; Metazoa; Chordata; Actinopteri; Spariformes; Sparidae
Description: partial 16S ribosomal RNA
Rfam family: Bacterial large subunit ribosomal RNA
Source: RNAcentral
CUGUUUUUUUUUUUUUUUUUUUGAAAUUGAUCUCCCCGUGCAGAAGCGNNNAUAAUACCAUAAGACGAGAAGACCCUAUGGAGCUUUAGACGUCAGAGCAGCCCAUGUAAAGCACCCCUUAACAAAGGAAAAAACCAAAUGAAGCCUGCCCUAAUGUCUUUGGUUGGGGCGACCGCGGGGAAAUACAAAACCCCCAUGUGGAGUAGGAAUACACAUUCCUAAACCCAAGAGCUCCCGCUCUAAUGAACAGAAAUUCUGACCAAUAAGAUCCGGCACACGCCGAUCAACGGACCGAGUUACCCUAGGGAUAACAGCGCAAUCCCCUUAAAGAGCCCUUAUCGACAAGGGGGUUUACGACCUCGAUGUUGGAUCAGGACAUCCUAAUGGUGCAGCCGCUAUUAAGGGUUCGUUUGUUCAACGA